GUACAGUGAGUCCAGAGGAUCUUCUCCCCCAGACUUCUGACGACUUGCAAUUAAGACGUCUUCGAGAUAACUGGAAUUGUGGCUGUGUUCUUUGUCCUUUUGGGUACGAGUCAAGUGGAGGUUAUAUAAAAUCUUUUGGCUGACAGAAUCGUUUGGUAGGUGGAUCCAGCGGGCCUAUGUUGAUUUACAUUUCUAAAAAAUACAAUGAAACAUAUAUGCGUCAGGUUGAGAUUAGAAUCCGGGCAGCCUACAUAUCUAAUUGGCGAGCCCAUUAUAUAGCUAGGAAUCGGCAUGAGAAUAAAAAGUUUGGGCCUUUGCCAAAAAUAAUUCAUAAUAUCCAUCUAUGAAAAAUAACGAGAAAAAACAACGGGCAUGCAGAAAUUUUUUAUCUUAAUGGAAGCUUUUAGUGUACAAGCCUCUCCUUAAAAGACAAAAAUGAAAAAAAAGAAAAAAAAAGGGAUAAAAAUGCAAUGGAUGAACGAGUAAUAUGUUGGGACCAAGGGUGAGGAUGAGUUGUAUGAUAUUGGGGUAAAAAAAAUGAAGUAUUGAAAAUUUAGUCAUGGCAUAUUUAAUAGUUGUGGUAAGAUAACUUUACGUAAAUAUGAAACAUUUGUCAUACUUGCUCAUUAAAUUCUUUAACAUCAUUUAACUUAAUUAAGAUUUAAAAUGUACAAAAUGUUAUUUUUAAAAGAUCGGUGUAAUUAUUUCUAAUAUAAUCAAUUAAAAAGGUAAAUAUAUUAGACCCUAGUCAUAUGAUAUUAACACAAUUGACUAAAUUAGUUAAACAGUUUGAACAUCCAAAUUUACAUACAAUUAGUUUAUUAAAUACGCUUUAUGAGCAUGAGGAUAAUUAUAUUCAACCCAAAUCGCUAACUUCAUAUUGUGUUUUGAGUCAUAUUAGCAUGUGUUUUGAGUCAUAUUAGCACAUUAACUAUACAAGUUGAGCAUCAAACUCUAAAUAUAACUCAUUUAUUAAACGAGUUGAAAUAGUUAUAACAAAAUCUAAACUGCUAACCUAAGGUUGUUGUUUCAUGUUUGAGUCAUAUUCACAAGUUGUGUCAUAUUUAUUAGCCGUACUUAGGAUUGUGAUCCAUAGGAGAGUUGUAUUAUAGAUGAUCUAAUGGUUAUUCCACUUUGGAUGAGGGAAGAAGUGAGUUCCUUUUAAGAGGCUUGAUACGUUUUAAAGUUAUGAGGGUUCAUUGGACUUAAGUGGACAACAUUUAUAGGGAAUGAGUGCACUGUUAUAAAUGGUAUUACAAUUGAUUCUCGACUUUGACAUGAGACUUUAUUUAUCUAGUCUAUAAGGGAUGUUUGUUUUGUGUCUUCAUGGGGUUGAGUGGACCAUAUUUAAAUUGGAGAUAAUUUUAGGUUUUGCUCAAUUUUAAUUCCAAUUUAUGUAACCCAUUUAUUGCAAAUAGUAUAAAUAGAAGUAGAGAUAAAGAACCUUGUUGGACAUUUAGGAAAUGAUUAAAAACCAUAUGCUACAAAAAGAAGUUCUUAAUCGUUAAGAGGAUAGAUGCCAACAAUAGUUUAGAUUGGGAAAAAAUGUCUUCUAAAAUUGUGUAAAAUAUUGUAUUGGUCUUAUGGCCUCAAAGAGAGGUAAAUACGUACCUUUAAUAGAGUCAUUAGUUAUCUUUCUAAUUAUAAUAGGUUAUGGGUUUGGUGAUAAAUUGUUGAAUUCAUAAGAUUAUGCUAUUCACACUUUAGAGGGUUUUGAAAAAGUCAAAUACGCUAAUAGAUAUUAGCCACUUUUUAAACAUUGCAUAGGAGUAAUUGAUGGAACACAUGAUGGUUGUGGUUCCUAGUUCGAAUCAAAUCCCAUUUAUUUGAAGGAAAUCUGUUUCUUAUAGGACGUAAUAGUCGAUAUGUGAUUUUAACUAGAUGGAAGGGCACAAGUUGCCCGCAAUUCUUUAUUGUCCAAUACUAAAUAUAGGUCAACAUUAAAAGAACUCACAAUUAUACAUAAGAAAAGUAAAAUUAUUUAAAAUGGACAAAGUACUUAUUGAAGUGUUUACAAAAAUUAGAAUAAAAUAUUUAGAGAUGAUAUUUAAUCAAAAUAAAAAUUAGACAUCAUCCUCUAAGUGUCUAAAAUGUAAUCCAAGUGUUAAAAUACUUUAAUAAAUCAUCCAUCACUCCAAAUUAAAUCAAAUUUGUCAUCAUCUUCAAAACAUUCAACAUGGUGGAACAUGAGAGCAUACAAGAUAAAUCUGAAAAAAAAAAAACCUAAUUACAAACUAAAAAGCCAAAAUAUUAAACUAUGUGUCAAUCAAUACCAAAUUAAUUGACAUUAAGAACACUUUACAGAAUAAUUAACAUCGAUAAUAAUAGAGAUACUUGCAAAAUAAAUCCUAAAAAAAUAUCUAGAGACGAAAUUUUACCAUGAAAAAAGGGACAACAUCUACUAUGUGUCUAGAAUACAACUAAAAGGCCAAAUCAUUAAAUUAUGUCUAGUUUAAUAUCAUGUUUAAUCACAAGCACAUUGAUAAGAAAUAGUGUAGAUUUCAAUAGCAAAUCAAAAUAGAUUUAUUUGACUAAUUUAGAAGUAUGAUAAAAUCAAGAAAAAAAAUGUACAAACCCUCAAUAUAUCUACCUUAUAGGAAAAAUAACAACGUGAUUUAAUCACACAAGAAGUUUUAAAACAAGCCAAACAUCCCUUGACUACAAAAUGGGGUUAGUGCAACAUGUGUAGAAUUUUUUUUUUCUCUCCCUUUGGGGGAAUCGGUUUUCAACAAAACAGGGUCCUAAAAUUAAAUUCAAGAAAUUUGAUUAAGGAAAAAAUAUAAAAAAUAAAAAUAAAAAUUUAAGAGGUUAUCAAAUAAUUUAAUUUUGCAAAACGAGUGUGGGUGUCUAGAACAUAGUGAAAAAUGAGCAUAUUGAAAGAUUGGUUUAUAUCUCUUUAAUGGAAAAUGACUUUGGACUUGAGCAAAAUUCUAUCAACACAUUUGGGAAAUUUAAAACGUCAUACAAUGAUAAGAAAAUUUUAGAAAGACUUUAAAUAACUUGAAUCAAAAUUUUCAUUAUAGAAGUUCAACAAUUCAAACAAAACUACAACAAAGUGAACAAUCUAAACAUCACAAUAAAAAAAAAAGACUGAAAAAAAGAUCAAAGGCAAUAAAAAUCAAAUAGAGGAUUUCUUAGCCACCUAUCAUAUAUUAUCAAUAGACCUCAAUCAAGUGAGAAUAAUUUCAAAGAAAAUAAUCCUAAUAUCAAUUUUAAUAAGCAUCAAUCAACAUGAGAUCAAUAAACCAUUCAUCAAUAUAUCAUCAAUAAUCAAAGUGAUCUUUAUUAUCCUCCCUAAAUCAAGAGAAUUCCUAUACCUAAUCAAGAUGUAAGACAAAAAAGAGAUAGAUUGAGAGAUAAUCACAAUCAAGGUAUGCAAGAAAAUAAAAACAUAUCUCUCCUUCAAAGAUACAAGCUUAUUACUCCUUUCUUGUUUUCCUAUGCUGAGUCUCGCCUUCUUGACCUUCAAGACUUCAACUUUUCUUUUCAAGAUGCUCCAUUUUUUCUUCAAGAUCAAUUUGUGGCAACCUUAAGUCCCUCUCUUAAUGGCCGAGCCGUGGGUGUCUCUUUCUUCCUCCAAAAAGCUUUCAAAACUUCACAUUUUCUCCUAUGCAUGUACGAGUCUCCAAAAAUCUGAUUUGUAGUCCCUUUAUGGCGUGAUCUCAUUCCUCCAAGUCUGUAAUGGCAGCCUACCUCUCCUUAAAAUCUUUAAAUGGUCGUGAUAUUUUCCUUAGGCUAAUCUGACACCUGAAUUUUGUUACAAAAUGUAACCUUUUAUUUUAACUUUCCAUAACUUUAAAAAUCAACUUACUUGGACAUCUGUAGCAACAGUUAAGCCCAAAAUACUAAAGCAUGUUCAACAUAUGAUGGGAAAGUUCACCCGAACCUUGUCACAAAAGUUACUCUUUAAUAAAGAUUGAUUUAGGAAAAUUUGUCAACGGAUGAAGUGUAGCCAUUUCCGUUAGCUGUCAUAGCUUAAAAAACCAACUUAUUUGAAUAUUUGUGGCAAAAGUUAUGUCUAAAAUAUUGAAGCUUGUUCAACAUAUGAUGAAAAAGCUCCCCUACUCUCUCUCAAUCUCCUCAAUUUGUGGAUUCCUCCUUAAUGUGGCAGCCGGGUUAUUUUUUCCUCGAAAAUCCCCAACCAUGAGUUCCAAUCAUCAAGAACUCUUAUGGUAGUCCAACCCUCUAAAAAUUCUCUCCUCCAAUGUCAAUUUCCUUCCAAAUCAAAUAUGGUAGCCCAUAUAUAUCUUCUUUCCUUUGGCGUGAAACUUUAUCCUCAGCCAAUAUGGUAGCCCUCUCAAAUAAAAUCUCCAAUCAUGAGUGAUCUUCCUUUCCCUCAAAGUCUCCAAAAUUUUUCCAAUUUGAUCUCUAACUCCCCAAGGUGUGGACUCCUUCCUCCCUUAUCUAAAAUUUCAAUGUUAACCAUACAUAUCACUUCUCAAAUCAAAUUGUCAUGAUCAUAAAGAAUCUUUCCCUCAAUGGCCAAGUCUCCAACCUUUCCUUCUUUCUUCCAAGUGCGUGAAUUUCUCUAUCCAAAAGUUUUAUGGAAAUCCACCUUCCAUCUAAAGUCUCCUAUCUUUCCUAAAAAAGUCUUGUCAAUCUCAAUCUAAAAAGAGUCCUACACUCAAUUCCAACUCAAUAGCCAUGAUGCUAAUGUGUGA
This 4661-nucleotide long non-coding RNA is filed under the name Vitis vinifera (wine grape). Its description in RNAcentral is "long non-coding RNA (VVIN_LNC000154)". Lineage: Eukaryota; Viridiplantae; Streptophyta; Magnoliopsida; Vitales; Vitaceae. The record is from RNAcentral.